Molecule: ribosomal RNA, 1598 nt
Filed under: Hyalinobatrachium fleischmanni (northern glassfrog)
Lineage: Eukaryota; Metazoa; Chordata; Amphibia; Anura; Centrolenidae
Description: 16S ribosomal RNA
Rfam family: Bacterial large subunit ribosomal RNA
Source: RNAcentral
GCCAAAAAUUUAGCCACCCCAAUCAAAUGUUUAACAAAAACCCAAUCCAACCAACUAAAACAUUCUAAUAUCUUAGUAAAGGAGAUUGAAAAACCACUUAGAGCUAUACAACACAGUACCGCAAGGGAAAAAUGAAAUAAAAAUGAAAUAACUAUAAAGCACAAAAAAGUAGAGAUUACCUCUCGUACCUUUUGCAUCAUGGUUUAACUAGUCUAAUCAAGCAAAACGACUUAAAGUUUGACCUCCCGAAACUAAGCGAGCUACUUCAAGGCAGCUUAAUGAGCAAACCCGUCUCUGUAGCAAAAGAGUGGGAAGACCUUCAAGUAGCGGUGACAGACCUAACGAGCUUAGUGAUAGCUGGUUACUCAAGAAAAGAAUUUAAGUUCAACCUAAAAUUAAGCAAAUAAAAUAAAAUACAACCUUAAUUUUAGAGCAAUUCAAAUAAGGUACAGCCUAUUUGAAAAAGGACACAACCUAAGACACCGGGUAACCCAAACCCAACGCCCAACAAAGUGGGCCUAAAAGCAGCCAUCUAUUAAAAAGCGUCAAAGCUUAAUUGAGCCACUAAUUAAUUCCAACAUUAUUAAAGAACCCUUAAGUAAUACUGAGUAAUUCUAUAUAAAUAUAGAAGAUUUUAUGUUAAAACUAGUAACAAGAAGAAGAACUUCUCCUACAAUGCAUAUGUAAAUCAGACAGGACACCCCGCUGAUAAUUAACACCCAUGAACAUAAAAUAGCAACCACACAAGAAAACCCUACUAUAUUAUGUGUUAACCUAACACCAGAGCAUUUCAAGAAAGAUUAAAAGAAAAAGAAGGAACUCGGCAAAUAUUAACCUCGCCUGUUUACCAAAAACAUCGCCUCUUGAAUAAGCAUAAGAGGUCCAGCCUGCCCAGUGACCAUGUUCAACGGCCGCGGUAUCCUAACCGUGCGAAGGUAGCGUAAUCACUUGUUCUUUAAAUAAGGACUAGUAUGAACGGCACCACGAAGGUUAUACUGUCUCCUCUUUCUAAUCAGUGAAACUAAUCUCCCCGUGAAGAAGCGGGGAUAAGAAUAUAAGACGAGAAGACCCUAUGGAGCUUUAAACUAUAAAGCAAUUGCCCCCAUAUUAUUAAAUUUCAGAAAACCACUAUUACCAAGGCAAUAUGACUAUUAGUUUUAGGUUGGGGUGACCGCGGAGCAAAAAAUAACCUCCACAUUGAAAGGAGCCUACUCCUUAGCCAAGAGCCACACCUCUACGCACCAACAAAAAGACAUUAAUUGACCCAAUAUUUUGAUCAACGAACCAAGUUACCCUAGGGAUAACAGCGCAAUCCACUUCAAGAGCUCCUAUCGACAAGUGGGUUUACGACCUCGAUGUUGGAUCAGGGUAUCCCGGUGGUGCAGCCGCUACCAAAGGUUCGUUUGUUCAACGAUUAAAACCCUACGUGAUCUGAGUUCAGACCGGAGCAAUCCAGGUCAGUUUCUAUCUAUAAAGAGCUUUUUCUAGUACGAAAGGACCGAAAAAGCAUGGCCACUAUAAAAUAUAAGCCAUACCUAACAAUUUAUGACCAAUACUCAACAAAAACUUAGCCUAAUACUAACCUCAAGAAAAGAGAA